RNAcentral lists this ribosomal RNA (301 nucleotides) under uncultured bacterium. Its description in RNAcentral is "partial 16S ribosomal RNA". It matches the Rfam family "Bacterial small subunit ribosomal RNA", at positions 509 to 807 of the family's 1533-position model. The record is from RNAcentral.
CAGCCGCCGCGGUAAUACGGAGGGUGCAAGCGUUAAUCGGAAUUACUGGGCGUAAAGCGCACGCAGGCGGUUUGUUAAGUCAGAUGUGAAAUCCCCGAGCUUAACUUGGGAACUGCAUUUGAAACUGGCAAGCUAGAGUCUUGUAGAGGGGGGUAGAAUUCCAGGUGUAGCGGUGAAAUGCGUAGAGAUCUGGAGGAAUACCGGUGGCGAAGGCGGCCCCCUGGACAAGGACUGACGCUCAGGUGCGAAAGCGUGGGGAGCAAACAGGAUUAGAUACCCGAGUAGUCCCUGUCUCUUAUAC